AGCGCACGUGAACCGGUAGCAAGUCGGGGGAAGCGAUGCUUUUCAUGGUCAGUUGCUGGGGUUAUUAAUCUGAGGAGAAGCGCUGUUUGGUGGGGAGAUGUCAGCUGUAGCAGAAAAGUCAGCGGAGUCGAGACGCUUGUAGAGCCUACACAAACUAAACAGAAGAACCCCCAGCAUGAGUCAUCUGGUCUGGAUCAGCACAAAAAUGGGGGGAGCUGCUUCUGAAGUGAGCCCCAAUAUGGAGUGUAACGCAAAUAGAACUGAGAGUGUCCUGAUGGAGAGAGCAGGCUCACCUGCACCCAGCUGUGUUUCCAUGAAGACUGACAGGUCAAUGCACUGUCCAAUCAGCUUCAGAGAGGGAACUUUUCCAUCAGAUCAAAGGGACCAGGUGAAAAGAUGUAAUUCAUAUCCACAUAAAGGAGACUUAUCUAUCUUCAAGG
This is a non-coding RNA of Paramormyrops kingsleyae, 440 nucleotides long. NCBI's taxonomy places the organism in Eukaryota, Metazoa, Chordata, Actinopteri, Osteoglossiformes, Mormyridae. The record is from RefSeq and is a predicted model, not a curated record.